Molecule: ribosomal RNA, 237 nt
Filed under: uncultured bacterium
Lineage: Bacteria
Description: partial 16S ribosomal RNA
Rfam family: Bacterial small subunit ribosomal RNA
Source: RNAcentral
UGAGCAAUCUGCCCUUCUCAUCGGAAUAAGCGUUGGAAACGACGUCUAAUGCCGAAUACGACCUCCUUUCGCAUGAUCGGAGGUGGAAAGCUCCGGCGGAGAAGGAUGAGCUCGCGGCCUAUCAGCUAGUUGGUGUGGGUAAUGGCCCACCAAGGCGACGACGGGUAGCCGGCCUGAGGAGGGUGACCCGGCCACACUGGGACUGAGACGCGGCCCAGACCUCCGUACGGGGAGCAG